RNAcentral lists this transfer RNA (62 nucleotides) under Rattus norvegicus (Norway rat). Lineage: Eukaryota; Metazoa; Chordata; Mammalia; Rodentia; Muridae. The record is from Rfam by way of RNAcentral.
GAUGGCUCAGUGGUUAAGAGCACUGACUGCUCUUCCAGAGGUCCUGAGUUCAAAUCCCAGUC